GGAGCGACGCCGCGUGGAGGAUGAAGGCCUUCGGGUUGUAAACUCCUGUCAUGCGGGAACAAGCAAGUGAUAGUACCGCAAGAGGAAGAGACGGCUAACUCUGUGCCAGCAGCCGCGGUAAUACAGAGGUCUCAAGCGUUGUUCGGAUUCAUUGGGCGUAAAGGGUGCGUAGGUGGUGACGCAAGUCUGGUGUGAAAUCUCGGAGCUCAACUCCGAAAUUGCACCGGAUACUGCGUGACUCGAGGACUGUAGAGGAGAUCGGAAUUCACGGCGUAGCAGUGAAAUGCGUAGAUAUCGUGAGGAAGACCAGUUGCGAAGGCGGAUCUCUGGGCAGUUCCUGACACUGAGGCACGAAGGCCAGGGGAGCAAACGGGAUUAGAUACCCCGGUAGUCCUGGCAGUAAACGGUGCACGUUUGGUGUGGGCGGGUUCAGACCCCGUCCGUGCCGGAGCUAACGCGUUAAACGUGCCGCCUGGGAAGUACGGUCGCAAGAUUA
Molecule: ribosomal RNA, 496 nt
Filed under: uncultured Verrucomicrobiota bacterium
Lineage: Bacteria; Pseudomonadati; Verrucomicrobiota
Description: bacterial SSU rRNA
Rfam family: Bacterial small subunit ribosomal RNA
Source: RNAcentral